CUACGGGGUGCUGCAGUGAGGAAUUUUGCGCAAUGGGGGGAACCCUGACGCAGCAACGCCGCGUGAGUGAUGAAGGCUUUCGGGUCGUAAAGCUCUGUCAAGUGGGAAGAACCUAUGCAGUGUUAAUAUCACUGUAUACUGACGGUACCACUGAAGGAAGCACCGGCUAACUCCGUGCCAGCAGCCGCGGUAAUACGGGGGGUGCAAGCGUUAUUCGGAAUCAUUGGGCGUAAAGGGCACGUAGGCGGCUUGGUAAGUCAGAUGUGAAAGCCCGGGGCUUAACCCCGGAAGUGCAUUUGAUACUGUCAGGCUUGAGUAUGGGAGGGGGAAGUGGAAUUCCUGGUGUAGAGGUGAAAUUCGUAGAUAUCAGGAGGAACACCGGUGGCGAAGGCGACUUCCUGGACCAAUACUGACGCUGAGGUGCGAAGGCGUGGGUAGCAAACAGGAUUAGAUACCCCUGUAGUC
Molecule: ribosomal RNA, 465 nt
Filed under: uncultured bacterium
Lineage: Bacteria
Description: partial 16S ribosomal RNA
Rfam family: Bacterial small subunit ribosomal RNA
Source: RNAcentral